This 24-nucleotide non-coding RNA is filed under the name Drosophila erecta. RNAcentral also lists the same sequence under 7 other names. Lineage: Eukaryota; Metazoa; Arthropoda; Insecta; Diptera; Drosophilidae. The record is from RNAcentral.
CAACGGAAUCCCAAAAGCAGCUGU